RNAcentral lists this ribosomal RNA (264 nucleotides) under uncultured archaeon. Its description in RNAcentral is "partial 16S ribosomal RNA". It matches the Rfam family "Archaeal small subunit ribosomal RNA", at positions 717 to 982 of the family's 1478-position model. The record is from RNAcentral.
ACACGUCUACAUUAGAUACCCCUGUAGUCCCAGCCGUAAACUAUGCGCGUUAGGUGUAUCGGUGACCACGAGUCACCGAGGUGCCGAAGGGAAACCGUGAAACGUGCCGCCUGGGAAGUACGGUCGCAAGGCUGAAACUUAAAGGAAUUGGCGGGGAGCACCACAACGGGUGGAGCCUGCGGUUUAAUUGGACUCAACGCCGGGAAGCUCACCGGAUAAGACAGCGGAAUGAUUGCCGGGCUGAAGACUCUGCAUGACUAGCUG